GGUACAUCAGCUAUAGCAUUGAAAUGGUGUAUUGCUUUGCCAUUCAUUGUGUGCACAGGACUGGGGGCAAUGGAACCUGUAGUCUGUUCAGGUUCCCCAUAAACCGAAAGGAGAAGAAGAAAUGUGUUGAUAGAUGCAGACGAGCGGACAGGGAUGUUAACGGGAAUGACCGGAUAUGUAGCUGUCAUUUUGUAGAUGGCAAGAAUUUCAAGAAAUAAAAUGGACCAACUAUUUUUAAUUAUCAGUAGAAAGCUCUACAUUUCCCAGAAAUGAACACACAUAGAAGAUGCAAAAGUUGAUGGAAAGGGAAGAUGUGAAAGAAAGCAUACCAGUAGAUGUACCUACAAUUUCCCAGGACCAUAAUUAUUACACGCAUGACUACAGGGCUUAUGAUGACAUUGAUGCUGAACUACCAACAAAAUCUAUUCAAGAGUAAGAAAGGGAGAUAGCCCGUCUAGAGGAUGAACUUGGCCGCAUGAAAGUGCGCCCAUCCAAAAUGUCGGUUCAGGACAUUAUUGGUGACAAUGAUAAGAUGCUGCUCUACACAUCUUUUCCUGUCGAUGUCUUCCAAGUCCUGGUGGGUGUUCUGAAGAGGUUAGCUCCUUUCAACUACUAUGCUGGCUGGACUGUAGCCUGCUUCAGCCUAGAGGAUCAACUAUUAAUCACCCUUAUGAAAUAACGUCUGAAUUGUAUGGACUUAGAUUUGGCGGUUAGAUUCGAUACAAGCAGAAGAACUGUUUCGAACAUUAUAAAUACAUAUAUUUUUGUGCUUCAUGAAAUAUUGUUUCAAGGAAUUGUACUUAAAGUAGGAAUUUUAAGCCAACUCAAAUGCAAGGGAUCCAUGCGGAAGUCAUUUGAAGACUUUAGUUCUGCAAGAAUUGCAAUGGAUGCUACAGAAAUUGUGCAGCAUGUUCCUUGUAACAUGAACCAUCAAACACUUUCUUAUAGUAAUUAUAAAAGUAGACAUACUGUAAAAGCUGUUACAUGUGUUGCUCCAAAUGGUGCAUUAGUUUUUUGUUCAGAUCUUUAUCCAGGUUCUACAUCAGAUGCAGCUAUUGUUGAUCACUUCAAAAUAUUAGGGCAACUUAAACAAAGUGACUUGAUUUUGGCUGAUAAGGGCUUCAAUAUUUUUGAUAAACUUCCUGCGGGAGUUUCCUGAAACAUUCCUCCUUUUCUUUCUAGUAAAGGCCAUUUCACAAAAGAGGAAGCUUUACUUUGCUUUAAAAUUGGAAGGAGCCGAAUUCAUGUAGAAAGGGCAAAUGAAAGGAUAAAUAAUUAUGAUAUUUUAGAUCAUAUUCCUGCAUAAUACAGACAUUUAGCGACAAUUUUUUUUCAAUUGUGUUGUUGUCUUGUUAAUCUUCAGGAUCCAUUGUUAAAGGAAAUAGCAGAUAAAUAUGAGAUUGAUUCAAAUUAAAGCUCUCAAAUAUCGAAGUACUUUAGCAGUACUUAGUAAUCCAUGGAUCCCUUGCAUUCGAGUUGGCUUGGAAUCCCUACUUUGUGUAACUGUAAAAUUCCUUCAAACAAUAUUACGUGUAUAUGAAGCUGUAUUCCCAAAUCUUUUUGUAAAAAGAAUGGAUUUAGUUGAGACUUGUAUGUACCAUAAAGAGUUGAUCCUCUUUGCUGAAGCAAGUUUCAGUCUAGCUAGCAUAGUAGUUGAAAGGAGCGAACCUCUUCAGACACUCUGAAGACAGUGCAGAGGAAUGGUUAUUACAUUUUAGUUGGCAAUUUGUAUUUCUAAUUUUAGCAUAUGCUUAUGUCAAUU
Long non-coding RNA from Dreissena polymorpha, 1762 nucleotides. RefSeq lists it as uncharacterized. NCBI's taxonomy places the organism in Eukaryota, Metazoa, Mollusca, Bivalvia, Myida, Dreissenidae. The transcript has 5 exons. The record is from RefSeq and is a predicted model, not a curated record.